GUUUGUCAUUCACACUCCUUAGGCUCUGGAUCAGUGGCUAUGUAUUAGUCAUGGGAACCAAUUAUCCAAGGGUGUUUGGUUAAGAUGGUUUUAUUGGUGCUGGAGCAUGCAGAAUGACAAUGACUAAUGGUGUCCCACAUACUAUCAUUAUUUACUUCGUCCUCCCGUGUGCCAGGAUGUUUUUGCUUGAGCUGACUUGUUUCCCUUUUUGACUCUCCUUCCUGAAAAUCAUGAUACCAUCCAGUGCAGAAGAGGACGCUGGCGUGUAGAAGAAGAGAGGGAAUAAGAGCAGAAAAAGUUCCCUUGAACCCUGGAGGUUGCAGUGAGCCAAGAUCACGCCACUGUGCUCCAGCCUGGGCAACAGAGUGAGACUCAAUCUGAAAGAAAAAAAAAAAAAAGACAUCACCAAGGGGAUGUACAAAUGUCUUUUUAUUCAAAGAGACAAAAUAAAUUAUCUGUAGGCAUGGACAACAACAGUGGCUACCUGGAUCUCUCAGAAUGGGUUUGUUGGAUGAAUGAAGGCUGAGAAUCUCUUGCUGGUUCCUCUACAACCUGAGCCUGACCUGAUGACUGGCAGUAGUUGCUGAAUUCUACCCUCAACAGUGGUGCAAGUUUGGGCUUCUGGGCCCAUAAACCUAUAUCCCCUGACCCUCUGACCAUCUCUGACCCUCUUGUGAACCAUCUGUUAUUUCAAAAGGUAUCAUACAUUCCUUCCAAAUAAAACUUCAUUUAGCUCA
This 737-nucleotide long non-coding RNA is filed under the name Homo sapiens (human). RNAcentral describes it as "HSALNT0094876". The record is from RNAcentral. Lineage: Eukaryota; Metazoa; Chordata; Mammalia; Primates; Hominidae.